Molecule: ribosomal RNA, 506 nt
Filed under: uncultured bacterium
Lineage: Bacteria
Description: bacterial SSU rRNA
Rfam family: Bacterial small subunit ribosomal RNA
Source: RNAcentral
GAUGAACGCUAGCGGGAGGCUUAAUACAUGCAAGUCGCACGGCAGCAUUAUUGUAGUGAUAUAAUAGAUGGCGAGUGGCGCACGGGUGAGUAACGCGUACACAACCUACCCUUAAGAGGGGGAUAACUCAGAGAAAUUUGGGAUAAUACCGCAUAAGAUCUUAAGAUUGCAUGAUUUAGAGAUUAAAGUUAAGGCGCUUAAGGAUGGGUGUGCGUUAGAUUAGGUAGUUGGUAGGGUAACGGCCUACCAAGCCGACGAUCCAUAAGGGGCGUGAGAGCGUGAUCCCUCACACGGGUACUGAGACACGGACCCGACUCCUACGGGAGGCAGCAGUAAGGAAUAUUGGACAAUGCCCGCAAGGGUGAUCCAGCCAUUCCGCGUGCAGGAAGACUGCCCUAUGGGUUGUAAACUGCUUUUAUUAGGGAAGAAACCCCUUGACGAGAUUGAGGGUUGACGGUACCUGAUGAAUAAGCACCGGCUAACUCCGUGCCAGCAGCCGCGGUAAU